This 460-nucleotide ribosomal RNA is filed under the name uncultured bacterium. Its description in RNAcentral is "partial 16S ribosomal RNA". It matches the Rfam family "Bacterial small subunit ribosomal RNA", at positions 338 to 795 of the family's 1533-position model. The record is from RNAcentral.
CCUACGGGUGGCAGCAGUGAGGAAUAUUGGUCAAUGGGCGGAAGCCUGAACCAGCCAAGUAGCGUGCAGGAUGACGGCCCUACGGGUUGUAAACUGCUUUUAUACGGGAAUAACGCGCCUUACGUGUAGGGCUUUGCAUGUACCGUAUUAAUAAGGACCGGCUAAUUCCGUGCCAGCAGCCGCGGUAAUACGGAAGGGCCGGGCGUUAGCCGGAUUUAUUGGGUUUAAAGGUAGCGUAGGCCGAAUAUCAAGCGUUCUGCGAAAGGGCCGGGCUCAACCCGGGCCUUGCAGCGCGAACUGGCGUGCUUGAGUCCGCGGAAAGCAGGCGGAAUUCGUCGUGUAGCGGUGAAAUGCUUAGAUAUGACGAAGAACCCCGAUGGCGAAGGCAGCUUGCUGCAGCGGAACUGACGCUGAUGCUCGAAAGCGCGGGUAUCGAACAGGAUUAGAUACCCGUGUAGUC